This 82-nucleotide transfer RNA is filed under the name Enterocloster clostridioformis. Its description in RNAcentral is "[Clostridium] clostridioforme tRNA-Leu". It matches the Rfam family "tRNA". Rfam says of the family: Transfer RNA (tRNA) molecules are approximately 80 nucleotides in length. Their secondary structure includes four short double-helical elements and three loops (D, anti-codon, and T loops). RNAcentral also lists the same sequence under 1 other name. The record is from RNAcentral. Lineage: Bacteria; Bacillati; Bacillota; Clostridia; Lachnospirales; Lachnospiraceae.
GCGCCCAUGGUGGAACGGAAGACGCAGCCGGUUUAAGCCCGGCUUCCCUAUGGGAGUGAGGGUUCAAAUCCCUCUGGGCGCA